UGCCACCGUGGCCAGGGCUUCCUGGUGCUCCUGCUGCUCUGGCAACGUGUGUCUCACCUCGUGGCAGUGGUUAGUAGUAUUGUCCCAUGUCACCCAGGAGGAAUCCGAGGCUCCUCUGGGGAUAACGUGCGCAGGGUGAGUGAAGAAGCCAGGACUGGACUCGGUGUCUGCUUCUCCCUGGAGUCCGGAUCGAACCCCACCCCCCACCCCAGGGGAUCAGCCUUAUGAGCAACCAGAUGCCGUGAGAGUCAACCAACAGGAGAGCCCUGCCUACCUCCCUCACCUGCUCCUUCUGACCUUCCUCUUCCUCUGAUGGCUUCUACUGGCCAAGAGGAGGUCUCCAAGACCCUCUCCCCUCCAAAUGAAUUGGCUGGAACCUUGUGAAAAGACCAGAGGACAGAAUUGAUGUGGACUUAGGAAGCACAUUCAAAAAGGCUGUGUUGGUGGCUUGGAGAAAAAGAAAACAAGUCAAACAACAUGGAGGGCAGAGCGGGCUGCGUGAGGGAUGAAGGAUUCAGACAUGGCCCUGAGAGUUAACAGACAACCUUAGGGGAUCAAACUUGGGGCCUUGCGCUGCGAGGCAGGCAGCGGAACCACUGAGCUAAAUCCCCAGCCUCCUGACUUCUUUCUUGACUCAGAAAAAAAAUACAUGGAUGGGGAUGAAAAACCAGUUUCCUUCUGACCAUAGACAUCUGGUCAGCUGUGGACCUGAGGAGCAACUCAUUGAAGUGCAGGAUGGUCCAGGAUAUAGUCACACACACAGUGCACACUGUGUCAGAUGCCUGCCCAGUCCGAGGGACACAAUGGCAAAACAACAUGUAGCUCCUGCCUUGCAGGAGCAAAUAAGAUACGGUGUGACAAAUGUUCCCAGAGGCAAAAGAACAGGAAGCUAGAAACAUAUAGGACAGGACAGCAACUGGUUCAGUCUUAUGGGUAUUAGAGGUUUCUUGGGGAAAGCAAUAUUUUAAGUGAGAAUUAAAGGUUAACCGCAAGCACAGGGCCUUACUGUAAAAAUAGUUUUCCAAAAAUUUACUCUUUUUAUAUAUUCUCCAGUAAAAAACAAUCUAUAACUCCAAAUGUGUGCUUUAAAAUCAUAUAAUCUGGGCCUAGUGAUACAUGCCUGUUGUAUCAGUUACUCAGAAAGCUGAACCCAAAGGAUCACUUGAGUCUAUGAGUUCAAGAUCAGUCUGAGCGACAAAGCAAAACCACAUGUCAAAACAAAAAAGAUGAAUUUCCUAUAUUCUCUACCUUGGUUAAAAUAUACACAAUAAAUAAAUAAUAAAAUAAUAUAAGUAAAUGGCUGGGAGGUAGAUCUAGAACAAAUUCUAUCUUUGAAGGCAAAGAGGGGGGACACAAUAUUGCAAACUUAUAUUUGUUUCUUUUAUACUUGUCCCAGUGUUUAUUUCCAGGAUGGCCUCCUUACCAUUUUGGCACCGCACACUGCCCUCAUCACAAGGACUGUUGUCACCAAAGUGAUGGCUACUGUUGUAUCUCAUCAACACUGAGCUGAUGUUAUGUGGAUGGUUCCUUUGCCCAGUCCCCACCAAUAAUACAGAAUUUUCCAUUGUAUCCAUUUGGCGAUGUCAGUGAGGAAGAGCUGAUUUGAGUAAAACAUCUAAGCUCAAAUCAUUUUCUGCAAUCUCUAUCUGGCUUGAAAUUUCAUGUCAGUAUCAGUUUUUAAAAUUUCUUUUCCAUUUUCCUUAUUUAGACUUUGCAGAACAAAGGAUACUUUAUUCUCAAUCUUCCUGGCCCUAAAUAUGAAUCUGAGAAUGCUUGUUUUACGAUGCCUUUGAUUUCUUUCUUAGUCUUUCAAAACAACAAU
Molecule: non-coding RNA, 1822 nt
Organism: Heterocephalus glaber (naked mole-rat)
Lineage: Eukaryota; Metazoa; Chordata; Mammalia; Rodentia; Bathyergidae
Source: RefSeq, a predicted model, not a curated record